GAUGAACGCUAGCGGCAGGCCUAACACAUGCAAGUCGAGGGAGAAGCCCUUCGGGGCAGAAACCGGCGCACGGGUGCGUAACGCGUAUGCAACCUACCUUUCACAGGGGGAUAGCCCGAAGAGAUUUGGAUUAAUACCCCAUAAUAUUAUUGGAUGGCAUCAUUUGAUAAUUAAAAUUACGAUGGUGAAAGAUGGGCAUGCGUCCUAUUAGCUAGUUGGAGUGGUAACGGCACCCCAAGGCUACGAUAGGUAGGGGUCCUGAGAGGGAGAUCCCCCACACUGGUACUGAGACAGGGACCAGACUCCUACGGGAGGCAGCAGUGAGGAAUAUUGGUCAAUGGUCGGAAGACUGAACCAGCCAUGCCGCGUGCAGGAAGAAUGCCUUAUGGGUUGUAAACUGCUUUUAUAUGGGAAGAAUAAGGAGUACGUGUACUUUGAUGACGGUACCAUA
RNAcentral lists this ribosomal RNA (451 nucleotides) under Capnocytophaga granulosa. RNAcentral's name for it is "bacterial SSU rRNA". It matches the Rfam family "Bacterial small subunit ribosomal RNA", at positions 28 to 482 of the family's 1533-position model. Lineage: Bacteria; Pseudomonadati; Bacteroidota; Flavobacteriia; Flavobacteriales; Flavobacteriaceae. The record is from RNAcentral.